This 253-nucleotide ribosomal RNA is filed under the name uncultured bacterium. RNAcentral's name for it is "partial 16S ribosomal RNA". It matches the Rfam family "Bacterial small subunit ribosomal RNA", at positions 524 to 776 of the family's 1533-position model. The record is from RNAcentral.
UACGUAGGGUCCGAGCGUUGUCCGGAAUUACUGGGCGUAAAGAGCUCGUAGGUGGUUUGUUGCGUUGUCCGUGAAAACUCACAGCUCAACUGUGGGCGUGCGGGCGAUACGGGCAGACUGGAGUACUGCAGGGGAGACUGGAAUUCCUGGUGUAGCGGUGGAAUGCGCAGAUAUCAGGAGGAACACCGGUGGCGAAGGCGGGUCUCUGGGCAGUAACUGACGCUGAUGCACGAAAGCGUGGGUAGCAAACAGG